GACGAACGCUGGCGGCGCGCCUAAAACAUGCAAGUCGAACGAGAAGCCCGGGCUUGCCCGGGUGGACAGUGGCGAACGGGUGAGUAACACGUGAGGAACCUGCCCCGAAGGCCGGGACAACACCGGGAAACCGGUGCUAAUACCGGAUGCCUUCACCGGAUCGCAUGGUCUGGUGAAGAAAUGGAUUCCGCUUCGGGAUGGCCUCGCGGCCUAUCAGCUUGUUGGUGAGGUAAUGGCUCACCAAGGCGACGACGGGUAGCUCGUCUGAGAGGAUGUCCAGCCACACUGGGACUGAGACACGGCCCAGACUCCUACGGGAGGCAGCAGUUAGGAAUCUUGCGCAAUGGGCGAAAGGCUGACGCAGCGACGCCGCGUGCGGGAUGAAGGCCUUCGGGUUGUAAACCGCUUUCAGCAGGGACGAAAUUGACGGUACCUGCAGAAGAAGCCCCGGCCAACUACGUGCCAGCCGCCGCAGUAA
Molecule: ribosomal RNA, 478 nt
Filed under: uncultured bacterium
Lineage: Bacteria
Description: partial 16S ribosomal RNA
Rfam family: Bacterial small subunit ribosomal RNA
Source: RNAcentral